RNAcentral lists this ribosomal RNA (510 nucleotides) under uncultured bacterium. RNAcentral's name for it is "bacterial SSU rRNA". It matches the Rfam family "Bacterial small subunit ribosomal RNA", at positions 968 to 1482 of the family's 1533-position model. The record is from RNAcentral.
ACCUUACCUACCCUUGACAUGUCUGAAAUCCUGAAGAGAUUUGGGAGUGCUCGAAAGAGAAUCAGAACACAGGUGCUGCAUGGCCGUCGUCAGCUCGUGUCGUGAGAUGUUGGGUUAAGUCCCGCAACGAGCGCAACCCUUGUCAUUAGUUGCUACGAAAGGGCACUCUAAUGAGACUGCCGGUGACAAACCGGAGGAAGGUGGGGAUGACGUCAGGUCCUCAUGGCCCUUAUGGGUAGGGCUACACACGUCAUACAAUGGCCGGUACAGAGGGCUGCCAACCCGCGAGGGGGAGCCAAUCCCAGAAAACCGGUCGUAGUCCGGAUCGCAGUCUGCAACUCGACUGCGUGAAGUCGGAAUCGCUAGUAAUCGCGGAUCAGCUUGCCGCGGUGAAUACGUUCCCGGGUCUUGUACACACCGCCCGUCACACCAUGGGAGCGGGUUCUGCCAGAAGUAGUUAGCCUAACCGCAAGGGGGGCGAUUACCACGGCAGGGUUCGUGACUGGGGUG